ACUUAAGCAUAUCAAUAAGCGGAGGAAAAGAAACCAACCGGGAUUGCCUUAGUAACGGCGAGUGAAGCGGCAAAAGCUCAAAUUUGAAAUCUGGUACCUUCGGUGCCCGAGUUGUAAUUUGUAGAAGGUAACUUUGGGGCUGGUCCUUGUCUAUGUUCCUUGGAACAGGACGUCAUAGAGGGUGAGAAUCCCGUGUGGCGAGGAUCCCAGUUCUAUGUAAAGUGCUUUCGAAGAGUCGAGUUGUUUGGGAAUGCAGCUCUAAGUGGGUGGUAAAUUCCAUCUAAAGCUAAAUAUUGGCGAGAGACCGAUAGCGAACAAGUACAGUGAUGGAAAGAUGAAAAGAACUUUGAAAAGAGAGUGAAAAAGUACGUGAAAUUGUUGAAAGGGAAGGGCAUUUGAUCAGACAUGGUGUUUUGCGCCCUCUGCUCCUUGUGGGUGGGGGAAUCUCGCAGCUCACUGGGCCAGCAUCAGUUUUGGCGGUAGGAUAAAUCUGCAGGAAUGUAGCUUGCUUCGGCAAGUGUUAUAGCCUGUUGAAAUACUGCCAGCCGGGACUGAGGACUGCGACUUUUAGUCAAGGAUGCUGGCAUAAUGGUUAUAUGCCGCCCGUCUUG
This 611-nucleotide ribosomal RNA is filed under the name Torulaspora globosa. RNAcentral describes it as "LSU rRNA". It matches the Rfam family "Eukaryotic large subunit ribosomal RNA", at positions 32 to 656 of the family's 3401-position model. The record is from RNAcentral. Lineage: Eukaryota; Fungi; Ascomycota; Saccharomycetes; Saccharomycetales; Saccharomycetaceae.